RNAcentral lists this microRNA precursor (83 nucleotides) under Ovis aries (sheep). RNAcentral describes it as "miRNA (ENSOARG00000022434.1)". Lineage: Eukaryota; Metazoa; Chordata; Mammalia; Artiodactyla; Bovidae. The record is from RNAcentral.
UAUUAGGUUGGCCAAAAAGUUCAUUCAGGUUUUUCCACAGCAACUAAUGGAAAAACCCAAAUGAACUUUUUGGCCAACUCAAU